AUGCCCCAAAAUUCAUUUAUUACUGCUACCAAGACAGUCAGUGCAGAUGUGUGUGUAUUUGAUUAUAGCAAGCACCCAUCAAAGCCUCCACUAGAUGGCGCGUGCAAUCCUGAUUUACGGCUGAAGGGACACAACUCUGAAGGAUAUGGCCUGUCUUGGAGUAUCUUUAAAGAGGGCCAUUUGCUGAGUGGAUCGGAUGAUGCUCAAAUUUGCUUAUGGGACAUCACAGAAAAUGGUAAAAAUAAAACUCUUGACGCAUACCAGAUUUUUAAGUUUCAUGAUGGCGUCGUUGAAGAUGUUGCUUGGCAUUUGAGGCAUGAAUACUUAUUCGGCUCAGUCGGGGAUGAUCAUCAUCUUCUAUUCAGAGGACGCGGAAGAUGA
RNAcentral lists this ribosomal RNA (381 nucleotides) under Triticum aestivum (bread wheat). RNAcentral describes it as "partial small subunit ribosomal RNA". The record is from RNAcentral. Lineage: Eukaryota; Viridiplantae; Streptophyta; Magnoliopsida; Poales; Poaceae.